UACAGCAAUUAUAGAUGGCUGAAGUUACUGAUCCCUACGGAACUCGUAAUAUAACCGGCCAAACACAUGGUUAGUACUAUGAUGGGGGACUACAUGAGAAUACCAUGUACUGCUGAGA
Molecule: ribosomal RNA, 118 nt
Filed under: Conidiobolus coronatus NRRL 28638
Lineage: Eukaryota; Fungi; Entomophthoromycota; Entomophthoromycetes; Entomophthorales; Conidiobolaceae
Source: RNAcentral